Molecule: ribosomal RNA, 705 nt
Filed under: Kocuria sp.
Lineage: Bacteria; Bacillati; Actinomycetota; Actinomycetes; Micrococcales; Micrococcaceae
Description: bacterial SSU rRNA
Rfam family: Bacterial small subunit ribosomal RNA
Source: RNAcentral
GCUUGCUGGUGUGGAUGAGUGGCGAACGGGUGAGUAAUACGUGAGUAACCUGCCCUUGACUCUGGGAUAAGCCCGGGAAACUGGGUCUAAUACUGGAUGCUACAUGUCACCGCAUGGUGGUGUGUGGAAAGGGUUUACUGGUCUUGGAUGGGCUCACGGCCUAUCAGCUUGUUGGUGAGGUAAUGGCUCACCAAGGCGACGACGGGUAGCCGGCCUGAGAGGGUGACCGGCCACACUGGGACUGAGACACGGCCCAGACUCCUACGGGAGGCAGCAGUGGGGAAUAUUGCACAAUGGGCGAAAGCCUGAUGCAGCGACGCCGCGUGAGGGAUGACGGCCUUCGGGUUGUAAACCUCUUUCAGCAGGGAAGAAGCCACAAGUGACGGUACCUGCAGAAGAAGCGCCGGCUAACUACGUGCCAGCAGCCGCGGUAAUACGUAGGGCGCAAGCGUUGUCCGGAAUUAUUGGGCGUAAAGAGCUCGUAGGCGGUUUGUCGCGUCUGCUGUGAAAGCCCGGGGCUUAACCCCGGGUGUGCAGUGGGUACGGGCAGACUAGAGUGCAGUAGGGGAGACUGGAAUUCCUGGUGUAGCGGUGGAAUGCGCAGAUAUCAGGAGGAACACCGAUGGCGAAGGCAGGUCUCUGGGCUGUUACUGACGCUGAGGAGCGAAAGCAUGGGGAGCGAACAGGAUUAGAUACCCUGGUAGU